This 423-nucleotide long non-coding RNA is filed under the name Lynx canadensis (Canada lynx). Its description in RNAcentral is "lncRNA (ENSLCNG00005022433.1)". The record is from RNAcentral. Lineage: Eukaryota; Metazoa; Chordata; Mammalia; Carnivora; Felidae.
UUUCUUUAGCAGGCAAACCGCAGAGCCUGAGGGCAGUGGAAAGAGGAGUUAACUUGACGGAAAUUUUGCAGGUCUGUUAUUCUUAGCACUACACAAGGCUAGAAGAGGCAAGGAAGAAACUGUUCGGAUCAGUACAGGGUGAGUGAUCUCUCCCAGAAGACUGGUGACAGGCCCUCCUCACCAGUUCCACAGAUGCCUCUAGAACUGGAUGAAGCGGGCACUAGACUCUCCUUUGCUGAUGACCAGGCUGUCCUGGAUAUACUUACCUGGAGGAUGACGAAAGUCCCUAUAGCAGGUCAGAGCACUAGACUUCCUUUCUUCCUUUUAUUUUCCUUCACAAGGGUACUUGAUGAGAACUUUUUAUAUGGAAGAAGACCUCAAAAUAGACUAACUAAAAGCAUUGGUUGUGAUAGUCUGUCCGAG